Melanotaenia boesemani (Boeseman's rainbowfish) is the source of this 1720-nucleotide long non-coding RNA. RefSeq lists it as uncharacterized. The transcript is spliced from 3 exons. The record is from RefSeq and is a predicted model, not a curated record. Lineage: Eukaryota; Metazoa; Chordata; Actinopteri; Atheriniformes; Melanotaeniidae.
AAACUUUUCUGCAGGUCCCUUUUCAUUGACGUGUUGAAGCUUCGGGAGAAGAAAGUGGGUGUAGGCAGAUGAUAAGGAAGUAGAGGAGCUGGAAAAAGCUACGCACUUCUUAUGUUUAGCUGCGUCAGUACUUUGAAAAUUUUUCCUUUUCUUUUUGCCUGAAAUAGACCGCAGUGCAGAUACAGAUGCUUGAUUAAAGUUUUCACAUUUGGAGGCUGAAUCAGGUUUUCGUUCUGGUUUCUGCUCCGUUUGAUCCAACCGGGAAAAGGGCAGCUGAGUGAAAAAUGGCAUUUUGGAGAGCUGCUGUCCUCCAGAUGCUGGCUGUGGUUCUCUGUCCUGCAGCUGUUACGGCCCUUGGACUUCUCUUGCCUCAUCCCCUGUCGGACUGCUCCUGCCUUGUGAUCUCCUGGUUUUUGACCUGUUUUGGAACGACCACGGAUAUUUGCCUGCCCCAGCUAAGUAGUCUGCCUGCUACCCCUGUUUAUGACUCUUGGCUUCUUAAAUCUCUGCUCAUUUGGAUUGUGGAUCAUCCUGACUGUUUCUGGAGCCCUUUCAGGAUAUUAUUCCCUGCUUUACCUGAGGAAGGCGCCACCGCUUCCUACUGGACCAAACCCUGCUCAUCUCCUCCAUUAACCAGACUAAAUAAAAUACUUUCUUGGAAUCUGUGUCAGGAAAGAACUUAAAACUACUAAUGAAAAUAAUAGAACAAGAAAUGGUACUACUUCAGAAAUGGUUCAGUGAAAAUAAAUUGUCUUUAAAUUUAAGUAAAACAAGGUUUAUGCUGUUUACAAACCAAAAAUGCCCUGAAAAUAUUGAUUUAAGUUUAAAUGGAAUCAGUAUAAAGAGGGUGUCUGAAUUUAGAUUUUUAGGAGUAGUUAUUGAUGAAAAAUUAAAAUGGAAGUCACACAUAGCAUUCGUUAAAAAGAAAAUUUGUAAAAACAUUGCUGUGUUGAGUAAGGUCAAGUUUAUGUUAAAUUAUAAGGCAAUGCGAAUUCUCUACUGUUCUCUUAUUUUGCCAUACUUGAUGUACUGUUUGGAAGUGUGGGGUAAUUCCUAUAGCACCAAUCUAAGCCCUCUAAUUGUCUUACAAAAGAGGGCAAUACGAAUAAUUAAUAAAACUGCUCCUAAAGAGUCGACAACAGGAUUGUUUCUGAAGUCAGGACUGUUAAAAUUGCAAGACAUGGUUGUGAUGAAAACAUUAUUAGUAAUAUAUAAAGCUAGACAUUUCUUGUUGCCACUUGGACUACAAACGCUUUUUAUCCUAAAUGAUGAAUCAAGUAGACGAUGUUGUGAUUUUCAACUUCCUUUUGCAAGAACUACACUCAAACAAAUGAGUGUUUCAGUGGUUGGUGUAAAACAAUGGAACUCACUUAAAACAGAUCUUAAAUGUUGUUCAAAUAUUCUCCAAUUUAAAUAUAAAUAUAAAGAGUAUAUAAUUAAAAUGUAUGAAAAGAAUUGUCUGAAUGGUUAAGAAAAUAGAGGCAUCUGCUGGAUGUAUUUGUGUUUUAAGAAUCUACUGUUGAUGAGGCUGUCCUGUUCGUUUAGAAAUGAGGAUGGGGUAGGAGUUAAUAAGAUUAAUUCUUCUUCCUACUCCAAUUCUCUCUGUUUUUUGUUUUUUUUGUUUUUUUCUCUCUUUCUAUAGAAUGUAUUACAAUUGUUGUAUUUAAAUUAUUGAAAUUAUGAAAUGUUUUGUUUUGAAUUUGAUGCAUUAACGUGGGAA